CCGACAAACAUUCGUCUGCGGAGAAAAUCAUCUGUCAGACAGUCAACAAGAUUUUAUGUCUAUCUCACGUUUUAGAUCAUUUUCAAGAUCAUCAGCCACCAUGGCAAGAAGAGAGAGCAGAGCCAGCAGGGACUACAACAGAGGGAUGGAGAAGAUGAGGAAACACAUGGAGGCUGAGAUGCAGGAGAAGGAAGAAAAGUUGAGGACUGCUGCUAAGAUCAUGGUCCUAAAGGAGAUGGAGUCCUGGAGAAGUGACAGAGAGCAACUUCUGGAUGAGAGGAAGACCAUGCAGAAGAAUCUCUCUGUCACUGAAGAAGAAAAGAGGAAGUUGAAGAGUGACGUUCAGGAGGAAAAAGACAAGAACAGAAACAGAGAAGAAGAGAUCUGGUCUUUUCACUGCCAGCUCUCUACUCAGAAAGAAAAAUAUGACUCCGCCAAUGCUCUCUGGUGGAGGAAGCUGCAUGAAGUGCUGGAGAAGGCAGCAGGGGCAAUCAAAAAGAGAGAUGAGCAGGUCAUCUUUCUUGAACGGAGCCUCCAUGCUGAGAAAGAAGACACAGAGAGGAAGAGAACCUCUGUUGAGGAAGAGUCCAGCAGGUUGGAGAGCGUGAAAGAAAGCUGGCGGCAAAAAGUCAGCCAGCUUGAAGACACUCACCCUCUAACUCAACUCUAAUUUCCCCUUCAAAGGUCCACAUACUUUUGCCAUGCACAAAUAUGUAACAUUGGGUCAUUUUCCUCAAUAAGCAGCAGUGGGUUGCAGAUUGUACAGGUAACAUUUUUAUCAGUGCUUGACUAUGCAGAUGUAAUUCAAAUGCAUGCUGCUGUGCUGCCCACACCCUCAAAUGCAUUGAUGCUGUGUAUUACAGUUCUCUUAGAUUUAUUACAGGUGACAGUUUUAGAACUCAUCAUUGUAUCCUAUGUGAGAAGGUAGAGUGGACAUCACUUACCACUCGAGGGGAACAACACUCUUAUUUAUAAAGCCAUCGUAAAUGAGCUACACACUAAGAAAUCAAGGUACAGGAAUAGGUACCAAUGCUUUGUCGCUCCAGCUGUACCCUAACAGGGUACAAGCACUGCACCUUUGAACGUGGUACUUUCUUGUCUGCACCUCUAAAAGAACAUUUCUGCACCCCUAGAGACAAAAAUGUACCUUUAUGUCCUGGUACAAAAAUGUACUCUUUUGAAAGGUACAGAAUUGGUACCUAAUGAGGUACAGCUGGAGCGACAUGUCAUUUUGUACCUUUAUGCGGCAAAAACGUACCCUUAAAUUCAGAGACAAAAACAUUUGAAAUUAUUCACCAAAAUUUAUUUGAAGAACAAUAAUAAUAUUUAUAAUUGGGUAAACAGAGUCCACCAGAAAUUUUGGGACAAGAGAGAGUGGAAAAGCUGAUCCCGGGAGGUUUCCCAUUCCAAAUAAAAUACCUACACAUAGAGUCAAGAUCCUUAAAAAACUAUGAAACUGAUUUGUGGAAGUAUAUUCAUUUUUAUAAGAGACAUGACCAUGGAAACCAGCAUCUAAAACAGACCAUCUGUUGAGAUCUUUCUUCACUUCAGUAAGAACUAUAUUGAAAUGAUCUAUGUUCAGGUGUGACAUUGUAGGUCUGAUUUGGAUACCUAAGUAAAGCUAUGAUUUUGAGACUGGAAGGUGAGUUAGAUCAUGGUUUAUACUUGUCAUAUAUAGUGGCAUAAGUAUUGAUUUUGACCAGUUUAUUUUAUAACCAGAGAAGGAGCCAAACAUGUGGAAGAGAUUCAAAACAUGGGGUACAGAGUUAGCUACAUCUGAGAGGUACAAUAAAAUGUCAUCUGCAUAAAGAGAAAUAUGAUGAGGUGUUCCUUUAAUUAUGAUAGGAGAUAUGGCAUGAUUUUCUCUAACUGCCUGGGGUAAUGGUUCCAAUGAGAGGGCAAACAGACCUGGGGAACGCGGGCAACCCUACCUGGUCCCUCUUGUUAAAACAAAGUCGGAAGCCAGGACAUGGCUGAGAGACAAAGGAGCUACAUGACCUUCUUACCAUGCAAAACUACCAUUUUCCACAAUUCUGAACUACAUUUUGGACACAUUGAGCAGAGCACUAUCUGAGCUCUUUUCUAUCAUCACAUACCUGACAGUUUUCAUAUAUGCUAUGGAGUGUUCCAGCUGACAUUUCCUGUAUGUAAAUGUAUGUAGUGCAUAUGGUGCUUUGUGUGGCUGUUUUAUGUUUAAUGCCUGUUUUAUGUGUUAUGCAGAUUUAUGUUGAUGCUCAUGGACAUGUUGUGUAGGUGUGGGGCUCCUGCUGGAGGCUUCAAGUGAACUGGAGUGCAGUCCUCUGCAUCUUCUUAUCUGUUUAUACAGCACACUCCUCAUUUAACCAUUAGUCAUGACAUACACACAUUUGCAGACAAACACACUUGCAUGUUCAAAUACAUCUAAGUAUAUACCCAUGUGAGUCCUAAUUUCACCACACUACACUACUACUACUUUCAGUUCACUAGUAUUGUAUGCACAGGAUUGCAUAUAUUAAUGCAUAUAAAGACCUACCAACAUACAUGUCUGUCACCAUAAGAUCCCAGCUAAAGUCACAUACACACCAAAAAUAACACACGAUUAAAGCUGCAAGCAGCGAUGAUUGGG
Molecule: RNA transcript, 2605 nt
Organism: Thunnus maccoyii (southern bluefin tuna)
Lineage: Eukaryota; Metazoa; Chordata; Actinopteri; Scombriformes; Scombridae
Gene name: vicilin-like seed storage protein At2g18540
Exons: 3
Source: RefSeq, a predicted model, not a curated record